RNAcentral lists this small nuclear RNA (108 nucleotides) under Melitaea cinxia (Glanville fritillary). RNAcentral describes it as "misc RNA ENSMCXG00005022940.1". It matches the Rfam family "U5 spliceosomal RNA". From Rfam's summary of the family: U5 RNA is a component of both types of known spliceosome. The precise function of this molecule is unknown, though it is known that the 5' loop is required for splice site selection and p220 binding, and that both the 3' stem-loop and the Sm site are important for Sm protein binding and cap methylation. The record is from RNAcentral. Lineage: Eukaryota; Metazoa; Arthropoda; Insecta; Lepidoptera; Nymphalidae.
AGCGGAGUCGCUUAAUCUUUUCCCAUAAACCUUUCGCCUUUUGCUAAAGAUUUCCGUGGAUGAGAACACUCAUAUGUCACACAAAUUUUUUACUUAAAAAUCUUUUAA